Molecule: ribosomal RNA, 676 nt
Filed under: Gammaproteobacteria bacterium
Lineage: Bacteria; Pseudomonadati; Pseudomonadota; Gammaproteobacteria
Description: bacterial SSU rRNA
Rfam family: Bacterial small subunit ribosomal RNA
Source: RNAcentral
GAACUGAAGAGUUUGAUCCUGGCUCAGAUUGAACGCUGGCGGUAUGCUUAACACAUGCAAGUCGAACGGAAACGGAACUAGCUUGCUAGUAGACGUCGAGUGGCGGACGGGUGAGUAACGCGUAGGAAUCUGCCUGAUAGUGGGGGAUAGCCCGAAGAAAUUCGGAUUAAUACCGCAUAAUCUAUUCGUAGUAAAGUGGGGGACUUUCGAGCCUCACGCUAUCAGAUGAGCCUGCGUAAGAUUAGCUUGUUGGUAGGGUAAAAGCCUACCAAGGCAACGAUCUUUAGCUGGUCUGAGAGGAUGAUCAGCCACAUCGGGACUGAGACACGGCCCGAACUCCUACGGGAGGCAGCAGUGGGGAAUAUUGGACAAUGGGGGCAACCCUGAUCCAGCAAUACCGCGUGUGUGAAGAAGGCCCGAGGGUUGUAAAGCACUUUCAAUUGUGAAGAAAAGUUAACGGUUAAUAACCGUUAACCUUGACGUUAACUUUAGAAGAAGCACCGGCUAACUCCGUGCCAGCAGCCGCGGUAAUACGGAGGGUGCAAGCGUUAAUCGGAAUUACUGGGCGUAAAGCGUGCGUAGGCGGUUUAUUAAGUCAGAUGUGAAAGCCCCGGGCUUAACCUGGGAACUGCAUUUGAAACUGGUCAACUAGAGUAUGGUAGAGGAAAGUGGAAUU